RNAcentral lists this ribosomal RNA (440 nucleotides) under uncultured bacterium. RNAcentral describes it as "partial 16S ribosomal RNA". It matches the Rfam family "Bacterial small subunit ribosomal RNA", at positions 338 to 795 of the family's 1533-position model. The record is from RNAcentral.
CCUACGGGGGGCAGCAGUGGGGAAUAUUGCACAAUGGGGGAAACUCUGAUGCAGCGACGCCGCGUGAGCGAAGAAGUAUCUCGGUAUGGAAAGCUUUAUCAGCAGGGAAGAAAAUGACGGUACCUGAGUAAGAUGCUCCGGCUAAAUACGUGCCAGCAGCCGAGGUAAUACGGAGGGAGCCAGCGUUAUCCGGAUUUACUGGGCGUAAGGGGAGCGUAGGCGGCCUGCCAAGUCUGAUGUGAAAUACCGGGGCUCAACCCCGGGGCUGCAUUGGAAACUGGCAGGCUUGAGUGCCGGAGAGGCAGGCGGAAUUCCUAGUGUAGCGGUGAAAUGCGUAGAUAUUAGGAGGAACACCAGUGGCGAAGGCGGCCUGCUGGACGGUGACUGACGCUGAGGCUCGAAAGCGUGGGGAGCAAACAGGAUUAGAUACCCGGGUAGUC